Molecule: ribosomal RNA, 890 nt
Filed under: Fusarium oxysporum
Lineage: Eukaryota; Fungi; Ascomycota; Sordariomycetes; Hypocreales; Nectriaceae
Description: 28S rRNA
Rfam family: Eukaryotic large subunit ribosomal RNA
Source: RNAcentral
UAUCAAUAAGCGGAGGAAAAGAAACCAACAGGGAUUGCCCUAGUAACGGCGAGUGAAGCGGCAACAGCUCAAAUUUGAAAUCUGGCUCUCGGGCCCGAGUUGUAAUUUGUAGAGGAUACUUUUGAUGCGGUGCCUUCCGAGUUCCCUGGAACGGGACGCCAUAGAGGGUGAGAGCCCCGUCUGGUUGGAUGCCAAAUCUCUGUAAAGUUCCUUCAACGAGUCGAGUAGUUUGGGAAUGCUGCUCUAAAUGGGAGGUAUAUGUCUUCUAAAGCUAAAUACCGGCCAGAGACCGAUAGCGCACAAGUAGAGUGAUCGAAAGAUGAAAAGCACUUUGAAAAGAGAGUUAAAAAGUACGUGAAAUUGUUGAAAGGGAAGCGUUUAUGACCAGACUUGGGCUUGGUUAAUCAUCUGGGGUUCUCCCCAGUGCACUUUUCCAGUCCAGGCCAGCAUCAGUUUUCCCCGGGGGAUAAAGGCGGCGGGAAUGUGGCUCUCUUCGGGGAGUGUUAUAGCCCACCGUGUAAUACCCUGGGGGGGACUGAGGUUCGCGCAUCUGCAAGGAUGCUGGCGUAAUGGUCAUCAACGACCCGUCUUGAAACACGGACCAAGGAGUCGUCUUCGUAUGCGAGUGUUCGGGUGUCAAACCCCUACGCGUAAUGAAAGUGAACGCAGGUGAGAGCUUCGGCGCAUCAUCGACCGAUCCUGAUGUUCUCGGAUGGAUUUGAGUAAGAGCAUACGGGGCCGGACCCGAAAGAAGGUGAACUAUGCCUGUAUAGGGUGAAGCCAGAGGAAACUCUGGUGGAGGCUCGCAGCGGUUCUGACGUGCAAAUCGAUCGUCAAAUAUGGGCAUGGGGGCGAAAGACUAAUCGAACCUUCUAGUAGUGGGUUUCCGC